UUGUUGUUGCUGCUGUGAUGCUGAGGACAGACACAGCAUCACAGUACUGGAACAGAGCU
This 59-nucleotide microRNA precursor is filed under the name Oreochromis niloticus (Nile tilapia). Its description in RNAcentral is "microRNA oni-mir-10647 precursor". Lineage: Eukaryota; Metazoa; Chordata; Actinopteri; Cichliformes; Cichlidae. The record is from miRBase by way of RNAcentral.